Lepisosteus oculatus (spotted gar) is the source of this 99-nucleotide small nucleolar RNA. Its record names the gene SNORD16. It matches the Rfam family "Small nucleolar RNA SNORD16". Rfam says of the family: U16 is a member of the C/D class of snoRNA which contain the C (UGAUGA) and D (CUGA) box motifs. U81 acts as a guanine methylation guide and is found in an intron of ribosomal proteins L1 gene in animals. This snoRNA was independently named MBII-98 in mouse. Lineage: Eukaryota; Metazoa; Chordata; Actinopteri; Semionotiformes; Lepisosteidae. The record is from Ensembl.
UGCUGUGAUGGUGUAAUUUGCGUCAUACCUUGUGAACAGCGACAGUUGCCUGCUGUCACCAUGCUGGCACAGGAGGCUGAUGACACUUCAUUCUGAGCA